This 1215-nucleotide ribosomal RNA is filed under the name Candidatus Caldipriscus sp. Its description in RNAcentral is "partial 23S ribosomal RNA". It matches the Rfam family "Bacterial large subunit ribosomal RNA", at positions 1 to 1136 of the family's 2925-position model. Lineage: Bacteria; Candidatus Caldipriscota. The record is from RNAcentral.
GACGAAAUUACUAAGGGCCACAGGUGGAUGGCUCGGCAGGGGGAGGCGACGAAGGGCGUGUUAAGCUGCGAAAAGCCCGGGGGAGGCGCAUAAAGCCUGCGAUCCCGGGAUGCCCGAAUGGGGAAACCCGGCCCACCGAUGAGGUGGGUCAUCGCAUGGGGAAGGGUUUAUACCCGAGUACCCAUGCGAGGCGAACCCGGGGAAGUGAAACAUCUCAGUACCCGGAGGAAAAGAAAGAGAAAUCGAUUCCCUGAGUAGCGGCGAGCGAAAGGGGAACAGCCUAAACCGUUCCCACCGUUAAAGCCCGGGGGCGUUGGUGGGAACGGGGUAGUGGGGCGUAGCCGGAGGGGGCCCCGGACCCCUCGGGGAGUUACAAAACCGUUCUCUAGCCGAAGUCGGUGGAAUACCGACGCCAUAGAGGGUGACAGCCCCGUAGGCGAAAGGGAACGGUCUCCCUGGGCUACGACCCCGAGUACCGCGGGACACGUGGAAUCCUGCGGGAAUCUGGGCGGACCACCGCCUAAGGCUAAAUACUACCCCCUGACCGAUAGCGGACGAGUACCGUGAGGGAAAGCUGAAAAGCACCCCGGGUAGGGGGGUGAAAUAGAACCUGAAACCUGUGGCCUACAACAACUCGGAGCCCCCAUUUGGGGGUGACGGGGUGCCUAUUGAAAAAUGAGCCCGGGAGUUGCCGUCGCCGGCGAGGCUAACCCUGCGGUGAGGAGCCGUGGGGGGAGCCGUAGGGAAACCGAGUCCGAAUAGGGCGCUAAGUCGGCGGCGGCAGACCCGAAUCCGGGUGAGCUACCCAUGGGCAGGGUGAAGGCGGGGUAACACCCGCUGGAGGCCCGAACCGGUGGACGGUGAAAAGUCCUCGGAUGACCUGUGGGUAGGAGUGAAAAGCUAAUCGAACCCGGUGAUAGCUGGUUCUCCCCGAAAUGCAUCUAGGUGCAGCCUCGGGUGGUCCCUGCGGGGGGUAGAGCACUGUUGGGGCUAGGGCAACCGAACCCCGACAAACUCCGAAUACCCGCAGGGUAGGGGCUAUUGCCCCGACAACCCGGGAGUGAGGGCGUGGGGGAGAAGCUCCACGUCCGAGGAGGGAAACAACCCAGACCACCCGCUAAGGCCCCAAAGUGCCGGCUAAGUUGGAAAGGAUGUGGGGACGCUAAGACAGCUGGGAUGUUGGCUUAGAAGCAGCCAUCAUUUAAAGAGUGCGUA